UCGACGGUACAGGAACAGCUUGCUGCUUCGCUGACGAGUGGCGGACGGGUGAGUAAUGUCUGGGAAACUGCCUGAUGGAGGGGGAUAACUACUGGAAACGGUAGCUAAUACCGCAUAACGUCGCAAGACCAAAGAGGGGGACCUUCGGGCCUCUUGCCAUCGGAUGUGCCCAGAUGGGAUUAGCUAGUAGGUGGGGUAACGGCUCACCUAGGCGACGAUCCCUAGCUGGUCUGAGAGGAUGACCAGCCACACUGGAACUGAGACACGGUCCAGACUCCUACGGGAGGCAGCAGUGGGGAAUAUUGCACAAUGGGCGCAAGCCUGAUGCAGCCAUGCCGCGUGUAUGAAGAAGGCCUUCGGGUUGUAAAGUACUUUCAGCGGGGAGGAAGGGAGUAAAGUUAAUACCUUUGCUCAUUGACGUUACCCGCAGAAGAAGCACCGGCUAACUCCGUGCCAGCAGCCGCGGUAAUACGGAGGGUGCAAGCGUUAAUCGGAAUUACUGGGCGUAAAGCGCACGCAGGCGGUUUGUUAAGUCAGAUGUGAAAUCCCCGGGCUCAACCUGGGAACUGCAUCUGAUACUGGC
RNAcentral lists this ribosomal RNA (583 nucleotides) under Escherichia coli. RNAcentral describes it as "bacterial SSU rRNA". It matches the Rfam family "Bacterial small subunit ribosomal RNA", at positions 62 to 637 of the family's 1533-position model. The record is from RNAcentral. Lineage: Bacteria; Pseudomonadati; Pseudomonadota; Gammaproteobacteria; Enterobacterales; Enterobacteriaceae.